UGCUUUACGCAGAGGGAUAACGUGACCUAUGAGGCUCUGCCGAGGUACGUUUAUUGCUGGUUGAAAAUGAUAGA
This 74-nucleotide small nuclear RNA is filed under the name Oesophagostomum dentatum (nodular worm). Its description in RNAcentral is "U4 spliceosomal RNA". It matches the Rfam family "U4 spliceosomal RNA", at positions 1 to 75 of the family's 138-position model. Rfam says of the family: U4 small nuclear RNA (U4 snRNA) is a component of the major U2-dependent spliceosome. The structure of U4 snRNA from yeast and human has been reported. Lineage: Eukaryota; Metazoa; Nematoda; Chromadorea; Rhabditida; Strongylidae. The record is from Rfam by way of RNAcentral.